Molecule: transfer RNA, 62 nt
Filed under: Cofana yasumatsui
Lineage: Eukaryota; Metazoa; Arthropoda; Insecta; Hemiptera; Cicadellidae
Description: tRNA-Thr
Source: RNAcentral
GUUUUAAUAAUUUAAUAAAAAUAUAAGUUUUGUAAACUUAAAUUAGGCAAACCUUUAAAACA